UACGUAGGGGGCAAGCGUUGUCCGGAUUUAUUGGGCGUAAAGAGCGUGUAGGCGGCCAUACAGGUCCGUUGUGAAAACUGGAGGCUUAACCUCCAGACGUCGAUGGAAACCGUAUGGCUAGAGUCCGGAAGAGGAGAGUGGAAUUCCUGGUGUAGCGGUGAAAUGCGCAGAUAUCAGGAAGAACACCCGUGGCGAAGGCGGCUCUCUGGGGCGGUACUGACGCUGAGACGCGAAAGCGUGGGGAGCGAACAGG
This 253-nucleotide ribosomal RNA is filed under the name uncultured bacterium. RNAcentral's name for it is "partial 16S ribosomal RNA". It matches the Rfam family "Bacterial small subunit ribosomal RNA", at positions 524 to 776 of the family's 1533-position model. The record is from RNAcentral.